UGGGGAAUUUUGGACAAUGGGCGAAAGCCUGAUCCAGCAAUGCCGCGUGUGUGAAGAAGGCCUUCGGGUUGUAAAGCACUUUUGUCCGGAAAGAAAUCCUUGGCUCUAAUACAGUCGGGGGAUGACGGUACCGGAAGAAUAAGCACCGGCUAACUACGUGCCAGCAGCCGCGGUAAUACGUAGGGUGCAAGCGUUAAUCGGAAUUACUGGGCGUAAAGCGUGCGCAGGCGGUUUGCUAAGACCGAUGUGAAAUCCCCGGGCUCAACCUGGGAACUGCAUUGGUGACUGGCAGGCUAGAGUAUGGCAGAGGGGGGUAGAAUUCCACGUGUAGCAGUGAAAUGCGUAGAGAUGUGGAGGAAUACCGAUGGCGAAGGCAGCCCCCUGGGCCAAUACUGACGCUCAUGCACGAAAGCGUGGGGAGCAAACAGGAUUAGAUACCAUGGUAGUCCACGCCCUAAACGAUGUCAACUAGUUGUUGGGGAUUCAUUUCCUUAGUAACGUAGCUAACGCGUGAAGUUGACCGCCUGGGGAGUACGGUCGCAAGAUUAAAACUCAAAUGAAUUGACGGGGUCAUAGCUGUUUCCU
Molecule: ribosomal RNA, 585 nt
Filed under: uncultured bacterium
Lineage: Bacteria
Description: partial 16S ribosomal RNA
Rfam family: Bacterial small subunit ribosomal RNA
Source: RNAcentral